UGGUGGACGAGAUCGGCCACUUCGACCUCCUCGUCAAGGUCUACUUCAAGAACGAGCACCCAAAGUUCCCCGCCGGCGGGCUCAUGACGCAGUACCUCGACUCGCUUCCCGUCGGCUCCUACAUCGACGUCAAGGGCCCGCUCGGCCACGUCGAGUACACCGGCCGCGGCAGCUUCGUCAUCAACGGCAAGCAGCGCCACGCGAGCCGCCUCGCCAUGAUCUGCGGCGGCAGCGGGAUCACGCCCAUGUACCAGGUCAUCCAGGCGGUGCUGCGCGACCAGCCGGAGGACCAGACGGAGAUGCACCUCGUGUACGCCAACCGGACGGAGGACGACAUCCUCCUCCGCGACGAGCUCGACCGGUGGGCGGCAGAGUACCCGGACAGGCUCAAGGUGUGGUACGUGAUCGACCAGGUGAAGCGCCCCGAGGAGGGG
This 434-nucleotide long non-coding RNA is filed under the name Sorghum bicolor (sorghum). RNAcentral describes it as "long non-coding RNA (SBIC_LNC013275)". The record is from RNAcentral. Lineage: Eukaryota; Viridiplantae; Streptophyta; Magnoliopsida; Poales; Poaceae.